CACCUCCAGCAUCCCUAGUAUUGGAGGCACUGCCUGCCCAGUGACUAAACGUUAAACGGCCGCGGUAUUCUGACCGUGCAAAGGUAGCAUAAUCAUUUGUCCUCUAAAUAAGGACUUGUAUGAAUGGCCACACGAGGGUUUUACUGUCUCUUACUUCCAAUCAGUGAAAUUGACCUCCCCGUGAAGAGGCGGGGAUAAAUCAACAAGACGAGAAGACCCUAUGGAGCUUUAACUAAGUAACUCAAGGAAAAUAAAUUCAACCACCAAGGGAUAACAACACUCCUUAUGAGUUAACAGUUUCGGUUGGGGUGACCUCGGAGAACAGAAAAUCCUCCGAGCGAUUUUAAAGACUAGACUAACAAGUCAAACCAAACCAUCGCUUAUUGAUCCAAAAACUUGAUCAACGGAACAAGUUACCCUAGGGAUAACAGCGCAAUCCUAUUCAAGAGUCCAUAUCGACAAUAGGGUUUACGACCUCGAUGUUGGAUCAGGACACCCCGAUGGUGCAACCGCUAUCAAAGGUUCGUUUGUUCAACGAUUAAAGUCCU
RNAcentral lists this ribosomal RNA (548 nucleotides) under Ovis aries (sheep). RNAcentral describes it as "partial large subunit ribosomal RNA". It matches the Rfam family "Bacterial large subunit ribosomal RNA", at positions 1817 to 2597 of the family's 2925-position model. Lineage: Eukaryota; Metazoa; Chordata; Mammalia; Artiodactyla; Bovidae. The record is from RNAcentral.